Molecule: transfer RNA, 88 nt
Filed under: Acaryochloris thomasi RCC1774
Lineage: Bacteria; Bacillati; Cyanobacteriota; Cyanophyceae; Acaryochloridales; Acaryochloridaceae
Also listed under: 2 other names
Rfam family: tRNA
About the family: Transfer RNA (tRNA) molecules are approximately 80 nucleotides in length. Their secondary structure includes four short double-helical elements and three loops (D, anti-codon, and T loops).
Source: Rfam by way of RNAcentral
GGAGAGGUGGCAGAGUUGGUCGAUUGCGUCUGACUUGAAAUCAGAUGAGCCCUUGCGGGUUCCGGAGGUUCGAAUCCUCUCCUCUCCG